CAGCGAGGUCAUAAGCUGAGCUCAGUGAAGGGAGCCAGAACAUGAAAUGAUGCUGAGAGAACGUCUGGGAGAUGAGAGUUUUAAGCAGUACAGGGUUGAAAAAGCUUUGCAUGCCAGACUAUUGUGAAUGAGUGGAGUUCAUAAGCAUUCAAAGGACAAAAGAGAUCAUUAUGCUUUGUUACCUCAGCUAGUUCAUUACCUUAAUUGCUGAGUGUAAUCCAGUCUUGGAAGAAAACUCUGGGGCUUUAAGAAGAUCAACACCAGCACCUUAUGGCACAGAAAAUGGAAACCCUUUCCUGUACCAUUGCUACUCCAGGAACACUAAACCUUGAUCAAAGGCUGAACUUUUCUUAAGGUCGGCCAUGUGAACAUCCCCUGGAGCUGUACCAUUCGCUGAACCAUAAUGAAGUUUAGUAGGUUCAGCACCAUUUCUCUCUGACUGUGACCGUCCUGGAUCACUGGCUAGCAAUAGCAUAUUAUCAGCCUUUCAGAUAGGUCUCAGCAUCAGAGGAGCCCAGGAGGAGGACCCUCCCGAUCCCCAGCUAAUGAGACUGGACAAUAUGCUUUUGGCAGAAGGGGUUUCAGGUCCUGAGAAAGGUGGGGGAUCGGCGGCAGCAGCUGCAGCCGCGGCAGCCUCUGGAGGUUCUUCAGAUAACUCUAUUGAACACUCAGAUUACAG
This 679-nucleotide small RNA is filed under the name Pan troglodytes (chimpanzee). Its description in RNAcentral is "processed transcript". Lineage: Eukaryota; Metazoa; Chordata; Mammalia; Primates; Hominidae. The record is from RNAcentral.